Molecule: ribosomal RNA, 119 nt
Filed under: Phascolarctos cinereus (koala)
Lineage: Eukaryota; Metazoa; Chordata; Mammalia; Diprotodontia; Phascolarctidae
Source: RNAcentral
GGUUACAGCCAUACCGCCCCAAACACACCUCAUUCCAUAGGAUCUCAGAAGCUAAGCAGGACCAGGCCUGGUUAGUAUUUGAGUGGGAGAACACCUGAGAAUGCUGGGUGCUGAAUCCA